UGGGGAAUAUUGGACAAUGGGCGCAAGCCUGAUCCAGCCAUGCCGCGUGAGUGAAGAAGGCCCUAGGGUUGUAAAACUCUUUCAGCAGGGAAGAUAAUGACGGUACCUGCAGAAGAAGCCCCGGCUAAUUUCGUGCCAGCAGCCGCGGUAAUACGAAAGGGGCUAGCGUUGUUCGGAAUUACUGGGCGUAAAGCGCACGUAGGCGGCCUUGUAAGUUGGGGGUGAAAUCCCGGGGCUCAACCCCGGAACUGCCUCCAAAACUACAAAGCUAGAGGACGCGAGAGGAUAGUGGAAUUCCGAGUGUAGAGGUGAAAUUCGUAGAUAUUCGGAAGAACACCAGUGGCGAAGGCGACUGUCUGGCGCGUUUCUGACGCUGAGGUGCGAAAGCGUGGGGAGCAAACAGGAUUAGAUACCCCCGUAGUCC
This 424-nucleotide ribosomal RNA is filed under the name uncultured prokaryote. RNAcentral describes it as "bacterial SSU rRNA". It matches the Rfam family "Bacterial small subunit ribosomal RNA", at positions 355 to 796 of the family's 1533-position model. The record is from RNAcentral.